Molecule: ribosomal RNA, 624 nt
Filed under: Triticum aestivum (bread wheat)
Lineage: Eukaryota; Viridiplantae; Streptophyta; Magnoliopsida; Poales; Poaceae
Description: partial small subunit ribosomal RNA
Source: RNAcentral
AUGCCCCCGGUGCCUGCCGCGGCGUCAUCGAGCGUCCCCAGCGUGCCCCCGGAGAGAACCCCUACGGGGGGCACGGCGUCGCCGGGCAACUCUAUGGCGCCCCUGGAGAGCACCCCUACGGCUACGGAGGCCGCGGCGUCGCCGGGCAACUCUGUGGUGCCCCCGGAGAGCAACCCUACGGCGAGCCCCCCGCCCUCUGUCACCGAGCCAGAGCGGCUUUCUUUAUCCAUCCAAGAUGAAUCCACAACUCCCCUGCUUUCGGUGGACGUCCACGACCUGCACAAGCAUGCCAUCGAGUUCUUGGAGGAAUCGAAAGGAUACCCUGUCCUCGCGGAUCCUGCCGCCGGGUUCGCCAAGCUACUGGAGCUGUUCGCCGCGGCCGAGUCAAAGGCCAUGUAUGCGGGAGAUCUGAAGGCGGCCGCCUCCAUCUUGAGCAAAGCUGCCACCGAUGGCAAACUUCCGGUGAAUCUCGCGGGCACCGCGAAGAGGCUGGCAUCUGAGGCGAUGAAACUCGCGUCCGAGGUGGAGACCAGGCGUAUUUUUUUUCUCUUUGGCGAGGAUUCGCUCGUGCUGCUGCCUCUCGGCGUCCCAGAUAGCGCGCUGCUGGUCAUGGUGCUGCACUGA